This 566-nucleotide long non-coding RNA is filed under the name Physcomitrium patens. RNAcentral describes it as "long non-coding RNA (PPAT_LNC006887)". The record is from RNAcentral. Lineage: Eukaryota; Viridiplantae; Streptophyta; Bryopsida; Funariales; Funariaceae.
CGUUAGGGUCACAUAAUCAAUUACCUCCUGAAUGUAUUAUCUCUAUUUCUAAUAUCUGAACACACAAGGAAACUAUAAUCUCUUCCUUCACCUUAUCGGUCUCUUCUUUAGAGCAAUUCAGUCCUACCAAUAACUGCUAUUUCUACUAAUAUAUUCACCCUCAUAAUCUCCAACUAUAAUACUGCACCCUCACAGUUUUCAGCACACAAUUACCCUCAUUCCAAUCACUGGAAUUCUUCACACAGAGUUGCCAUUCACAUUAUGGUGUUUCACACAAAUACAGACUCAUUCUCUCUACUGAACUACAAUCAGAUUUCAGCAUUCAAUCUUUCUUCUUCUCAAAUAAUACCAAUCACAUUUCCAUUCCAUAAUUCACUUCAUAAUAUUCAAAAACUCUCAAUCCUCUUAUUCAAAGAAAAUAACAAAUAAAAGAAAAGGGGUAGCACCAAGCUUAUCCCGGCUCUCACUAUCACAGCAAUGGCCCUCGGCUCAUGACUAUUUUAGUUUGGCACCUUAAUUAACUUCUACAACUCCUAUAUACUUUCUCCUGAUUCUCCAGAUUCUAA